AACAGGAUUAGAUACCCUGGUAGUCCAUGCCGUAAACGAUGUCUACUAGCCGUUGGGGCCUUUGAGGCUUUAGUGGCGCAGCUAACGCGAUAAGUAGACCGCCUGGGGAGUACGGUCGCAAGACUAAAACUCAAAUGAAUUGACGGGGGCCCGCACAAGCGGUGGAGCAUGUGGUUUAAUUCGAUGCAACGCGAAGAACCUUACCUGGCCUUGACAUACUAGAAACUUUCCAGAGAUGGAUUGGUGCCUUCGGGAAUCUAGAUACAGGUGCUGCAUGGCUGUCGUCAGCUCGUGUCGUGAGAUGUUGGGUUAAGUCCCGCAACGAGCGCAACCCUUGUCAUUAGUUGCUACGAAAGGGCACUCUAAUGAGACUGCCGGUGACAAACCGGAGGAAGGUGGGGAUGACGUCAGGUCAUCAUGGCCCUUAUGGGUAGGGCUACACACGUCAUACAAUGGCCGGGACAGAGGGCUGCCAACCCGCGAGGGGGAGCCAGUCCCAGAAACCCGGUCGUAGUCCGGAUCGUAGUCUGCAACUCGACUGCGUGAAGUCGGAAUCGCUAGUAAUCGCGGAUCAGCUUGCCGCGGUGAAUACGUUCCCGGGUCUUGUACACACCGCCCGUCACACCAUGGGAGCGGGUUCUGCCAGAAGUAGUUAGCCUAACCGCAAGGGGGGCGAUUACCACGGCAGGGUUCGUGACUGGGGGUGAAGUCGUAACAAGGUAACC
RNAcentral lists this ribosomal RNA (725 nucleotides) under uncultured bacterium. RNAcentral describes it as "bacterial SSU rRNA". It matches the Rfam family "Bacterial small subunit ribosomal RNA", at positions 771 to 1501 of the family's 1533-position model. The record is from RNAcentral.